Molecule: ribosomal RNA, 446 nt
Filed under: uncultured bacterium
Lineage: Bacteria
Description: partial 16S ribosomal RNA
Rfam family: Bacterial small subunit ribosomal RNA
Source: RNAcentral
CCUACGGGUGGCAGCAGUCGAGAAUCAUUCACAAUGGGGGAAACCCUGAUGGUGCGACGCCGCGUGGGGGAAUGAAGGUCUUCGGAUUGUAAACCCCUGUCAUGUGGGAGCAAAUUAAAAAGAUAGUACCACAUGAGGAAGAGACGGCUAACUCUGUGCCAGCAGCCGCGGUAAUACAGAGGUCUCAAGCGUUGUUCGGAAUCACUGGGCGUAAAGCGUGCGUAGGCUGUUUCGUAAGUCGUGUGUGAAAGGCGCGGGCUCAACCCGAGGACGGCACAUGAUACUGGGAGACUAGAGUAAUGGAGGGGGAGCCGGAAGUCGCGGUGUAGCAGUGAAAUGCGUAGAUAUCGAGAGGAACACUCGUGGCGAAGGCGGGUUCCUGGACAUUAACUGACGCUGAGGCACGAAGGCCAGGGGAGCGAAAGGGAUUAGAUACCCUUGUAGUC